GUCUAAGGCCAUACCUUCCUGAAUACACCUGAUCUCCUCUGAUCUUAGAAGUUAAGAAGGGUCCGGCCUGGUUAGUAGUUGGAUGAAAGACAGACUAGGAAUAAGAUU
RNAcentral lists this ribosomal RNA (108 nucleotides) under Phascolarctos cinereus (koala). Lineage: Eukaryota; Metazoa; Chordata; Mammalia; Diprotodontia; Phascolarctidae. The record is from RNAcentral.